UACAGAGGUCCCAAGCGUUGUUCGGAUUCACUGGGCGUAAAGGGUGCGUAGGCGGUCGGGUAAGUCUGAUGUGAAAUCUCCAAGCUUAACUUGGAAAUGGCAUCGGAUACUAUUCGGCUCGAGGAAUGGAGGGGAGACUGGAAUACUUGGUGUAGCAGUGAAAUGCGUAGAUAUCAAGUAGAACACCAGUGGCGAAGGCGAGUCCCUGGAAAACUCCUGACACUGAGGCACGAAAGCUAGGGGAGCAAACAGG
RNAcentral lists this ribosomal RNA (253 nucleotides) under uncultured bacterium. RNAcentral describes it as "partial 16S ribosomal RNA". It matches the Rfam family "Bacterial small subunit ribosomal RNA", at positions 524 to 776 of the family's 1533-position model. The record is from RNAcentral.